AAAACAAAAAAUUGAAAUCUUCAAAACCUGAACUCGUUCCUGUCUCUCUCACACAAAUAGAGAAAUCAAACCCCAAAUUAGCUACGAACCCUAAAUCCCAAAUCCCCCAAACCGUCAAUCCAUCCCUGUAAACCAAAUUCAAGCUGCAUGAACGUCAUUCUAUCUUGUUGUCGUGCUUCGAUGCAAUUGCAGUAGAAGUUUUUUUGAGUCGCGACAAGUGCUUCUUUUCACCACCAUGGAUAAUAUUCAGCAACAAUCAAUGGGUAAGCAAUAAUAACCCUUUCUUUUGUUCUCCUGCGUUCGUUGCAUUCUUUUUCCUUUUGAUUUACUGUUGAUAGCAUAGAAGACAUUUUUGAUAUUCUCUAGAAAAUUUGUAAAGUGGUUUCUUUUAUUUAACGGACUAUUAUGACUUGUAAUAUAAUAUUGAUAGCAUGUUGACAUCCGUUCAACAUGUGUGUGGGUGGGUGGGUGUGUGUGAGACAUUAAUUUGGUAUUACAAUUCGUUAUUGUACAUUCUGCUUUAUUCUUGCUAAUGAAAAAUAAAACUAGGAUACUGUAUUAUAAAUUAUAAUUUUUGAUCUCUUUAUUUACUUUUUUGUUUGUUAUAUUUGCAGAUAUUCUGAUGGACAGUGAUCCAGACUUUCACGACUCUGAUCAUGAUGUAUACGACGAUAAUGAUAUUUUAUUUGAUUGUAACAUUACCGAAGGUAUUGAAAUGGCUAUGUAUAGCUUGCUACUUGAUGAAGAAGCCCCGUAAGAAGACAUCUCGUCGAAUGCAUCUUAUGAAGAACUAAAAUUUGGUAAUGGUUCGGACUCGGAGGGCAACAUUGGUAUGCAUAAUUUUCUUGAUAAUCGAUCUUCGAUCAAGUUGAGCCAAUUUUCAAGAGAAAUGAUAAGAUUCGAGUGCAUUGUGUUCGUAAGGAUUGUUGUCCAUGGAUGUUGUGGGCGUUUAAGUUACAAGGUCAAGACAUAGUACAAAUAAAAACAUAUGACCCUAAACAUACUUUCUUGAAGGUACAUCAAAUAAGUACGUAACAUACAAGUGGCUUGCCGAUUAUUACUUGGAUGAUUUUACAACCAAUCUUCACUGGAAGACAAAGCAUUUCAAAACUAAAGUGAGAGGAUUUGGGAGUUCAUAUUACAAAGUCGGUUGCAUGGAAUAGUAGAAAAUAUGCAAAAGUUUUAAUAGAAGAGAAUGAUGCAGUACAAUUUGCGAAGUUAGGUUUCUAUGCCGAGGAAUUGAGGUGAACAAAUCCUGGUUCUACCGUGAUCAUUGCUCAUGUGGAAAAUGUGUCUAGGGGUAUUUAUGUUUGUAUAGAGACAUGUAAGAGGGAUUUUUAGCAGGGGUGUAUAAAUAGAAUUUUUUGAAGGAAAAUAUGAUGGGCAACUUCUAGCAGCAGUUGGGGUAGACGCCAACGAUUGUAUAUAUCCAAUUGCAUAUGCCACUGUCAAGUAAGAGAACACCAGUUCAUAUAUCCAAUUGCACAUGCCAUUGUUGAGAAAGAGAACACCAGUUCAUGGCAAUGGUUUAUGAUGUCAUUGUUUGAAGACCUAGCUAUGGAGAAUUGGUUAUCCAUUACCUUCAUGAGUGAUAGACAGAAAGGAUAAAUUAAUGUUGUGGCGAAUUUAUUUCCAGAAGCAAAACGUCGAUUUUGUGUUAGGCACAUGUAUCGGAAUUUUUUUAGGAGUGACUUAAAGGGUAAGAAUUUGAAGUAUUAUUUAUGGGUUUGUAGACAUAAAAAAAUACAAGAAAUUCCGUCGUACAGGGAUGCAGUGAAGUCAAGCCAUUUAGGAUCUUUCAAGUAUUGGAUAUCGAAUAUUGAAAAUGCUAAAGACGGGGCGUAUAGAUGGGCGUAUGGAUGGUUGAUGAAAAAAAUCACCAAAUGAGUGGAUUAAAUUUCACUUUUCGUUAGUCGAAGUGUAAAAUGCUUCUUAAUAACCUAUGUGAAUGCUGUAACAACUUCAUUUCGAAAGACAGACAAAUCCAUACUCACCAUGUUGAUUGGAAUUUAGAACAAACUAAUGUAGAGGAUAAAUUGAAAAACUACAACAAACCUAUCUAUCCUAAAAUAAAAAAAAAGUUAAAGAAAGCUAGUAAAGCAGCUCGUGAAUGUAUAUUGCAAUAGAAUGGGAUACAUCAAUAUCAAGUUGAGUGUUUGUAUGGAAAAUUUAUAGUUGAUAUGGAGAAUCAAACUUGCACGUGUUAAAGAUGGCAGGGAAUUUCGCAUCUACAUGUGAUUGCGUGCAUCAUGGAUAAAGUUAACGAAGGGAAAGAGUUAUGGCAUGAAACUGAAGUUCAUGUGCUGUCUCCACCAUGGUAUAUAGCUAAUAAGGGAAGAAAGCAAACGAAGAAAAGAAAAGGACCUGAAGAAGUUGAAGUGUCUUAAUCACAAUCACAAGAGUCGACAACAGAGAAAGGAGUUUUGUAUAUGACAUGUUCGGUGUGCAAGGAGAAAGGACAUAACAAACGUCACCUUAGCAUAAAGGCAUCAACAGUUUCUGAUGCACGCAUUAUUGCAUUCUAAGUUUAUUAUUUUAUUGAUUUAUUAUUAUUAUUAUUAUUUUGUUAUUGCAUGUCAACUUAUAUUACUAUUGUUCACAUUUAUUAGGAAGGUCAACAACUUGGAGAUGGAGCUAGAUGUUUUCAGGGGGCGGGAAUGCAGCCUUAAUGCACCACUUACUAGAAAUUUUUGUGAAUAUCUCAAGGGAAAUUUGCUAGGGGAUUCAUGUAGGUCACUUACAACCUAUUUUUUGUGAUUAUCUAAGGAACUGUAAUACAAUUUUAGAAACAUAGGCAUCCAAGUUUAUGUAAUUAUGGUACAUUAUCCCAUUGAAGUGUUGUAGUAUCUUGAAUGAUGUAUUCCUAUUCGUUGAUAUGGAAUGUAAAGAAGUGAUUUUGUGUAUUGACUAAUAUAAAUCCAGUUGGUCCAUA
This 2932-nucleotide long non-coding RNA is filed under the name Olea europaea subsp. europaea. Lineage: Eukaryota; Viridiplantae; Streptophyta; Magnoliopsida; Lamiales; Oleaceae. The record is from RNAcentral.